CAUCUAUGAGUAACCCUGCUGUUCCCCCCAACCCCGGGAGGAGCGAACGAAAAACUCUAGGGGCCCCUAUCCUACAACCCUGAUUGUAGACCUCCAGACUUUCCUAUUGAGUGUCAUAUCCUCGGAAACCUGCAUUCUAGCCAUGUCCUGCCUAAUCACCUCUCCCCAAUACUUCUUAGGCCUCCCUCUGCCUCGCCGACCACCAACAAUCUCCAGCCG
This 219-nucleotide long non-coding RNA is filed under the name Nicotiana benthamiana. RNAcentral describes it as "long non-coding RNA (NBEN_LNC034956)". The record is from RNAcentral. Lineage: Eukaryota; Viridiplantae; Streptophyta; Magnoliopsida; Solanales; Solanaceae.